RNAcentral lists this long non-coding RNA (1125 nucleotides) under Fukomys damarensis (Damara mole-rat). Its description in RNAcentral is "lncRNA (ENSFDAG00000027987.1)". Lineage: Eukaryota; Metazoa; Chordata; Mammalia; Rodentia; Bathyergidae. The record is from RNAcentral.
GAGCCUUUAGCUAGGGCUGCAGGAAUCUGAAGGCUGGGGCUGAGAACCUGUUCCCAUGCUCACUUGGGACUGUGGCAGACAGUUUCUCAGCUCCUCUCUGUUCCUCACCUUGUGCACACUUCCCAGGGCUGCAUGGCAGUGGCUUCCUGAGAGAGUAAGGCAGAGGCUGCCAUGUCCUAAUAACCUGGAACCCAGUGUGAGAUGCCAUCACUUCCAUGCCGCACCGACCACCCUGCUGUGGGAGGGCAGAGCCACACAGCAUGUGGACAGCAGGAGGUGGCAUCCCUGAGACUGGCUCAGAGGCUGACUCCUCUGUGAGAGGUCUUCACACAUGCUUCCACCACCAGUGCUCUGGAAUGAAGGGGAGAAUACUCCUGUGGAUGACACUAUCAGAGAUACUUCUAAUACACACCAUAGGUGCAUCAUACUAUUCUUGUGAAUUUCUGUUGUUUUCACAUAUCAGUGAAGUGAGACUUGAGCUGAAAUAGAUGUGAUGAAGUGUGGAGGGAGAUCUGACAUGGGCUCUGUUAUGACUGAAGCGUGUCCUCCAAAAAAGCACAUGCUGGAAACUCGAUCUUCAAAACAGCAGAGAAGGUUGGUUCGAUAUCAUUCCAGAGGAAUCAUAAGGAGGUCCUCCAGUUGAAGAUUCUGAAGACGCUGCUCCUUUCACUGCAUUGCGCUGAGAGUGAAACCUGUCAUAGAUCUGUUUUGUUGUCUGGUUCAAUUGUCACAUCUCACAGCAACCAUUAUGGGUUCCAUUCUUCUGGAUGCCGCUGCCUGCUACAAGUGACGUUUUGGGUGACAUCAUCCCAUUUGGAGGAAUUUUGGCAAAAGAGCUCUGGCAUGAUGUCUCCACUCCCCAGCCCUGUCCCAACUGCCCCUGACCCUGGCACAGGAAAGGAUGCAGGUGCAGUUCUUUCUGCAAGAGAAAAUCCAGAGGGAAGACACAGCCACUGUUCUCUGCCUGGAAAUGCUCUACUGAGUUUCCAGUGGCCCUGGCUGGGGUCCACAAGCUGGUGGGCACAUGGUGUCCUGUGCAUCCAUGGUCUGAGCGGCAGAUGGCCCAGAGCCAUGGCCCUCUGGGGAAUCGUUGCUCUUUGCUCCUGGCCUGUGGCCUCACCUUGA